CUUGGCUGUAUUAUCUCAAAAGCCGCAUAUGCUAUAUGAUUAUUUCAAGCAACGGUUUGCUCAGGUUACAAAUCCAGCUAUUGAUCCCCUCCGAGAAGGAUUAGUCAUGUCCCUUGAAGUCAAUCUUGGCAAGCGUAGAAAUAUACUAGAGGCUGGACCUGAAAAUGCUUCUCAGGUUAUUUUGCCUAGUCCUGUACUUAAUGAAGGAGAGCUUGAAUCUCUUUUGAAAGAUUUACACUUGAGACCUCAUGUUUUGCCGACAUUUUUUGAUGUUGGGAAAGGAGUUGAUGGGUCCUUGAAAAGGUCACUGGAUAAACUAUGUGAAGCAGCUGAUGAGGCUGUCAGAAAUGGUUCUCAACUGCUUGUUCUCUCUGAUAGGUCUGACGAAUUGGAAGCUACUCGCCCUGCAAUUCCAAUACUUCUUGCUGUAGGUGCCGUUCACCAGCAUCUGAUUCAAAAUGGCCUUAGAAUGUCUGCUUCAAUUGUUGCUGAUACUGCCCAAUGCUUCAGUACUCAUCAGUUUGCUUGCUUGAUCGGAUUUGGCGCAAGUGCUGUAUGUCCAUACUUGGCAUUUGAGACAUGUCGACAAUGGCGCUUGAGCACUAAAACUGUGAAUUUGAUGCGAAAUGGGAAAAUGCCUAGUGUUACCAUUGAACAAGCUCAAAAGAACUUUUGCAAGGCAAUUAAAUCUGGGCUUCUCAAAAUUCUUUCAAAAAUGGGGAUCUCAUUGCUCGCCAGUUAUUGUGGUGCACAGAUAUUUGAAAUCUAUGGAUUGGGGAAGGAGGUCAUGGAUAUUGCAUUCUGUGGCAGUAAAUCAAGCAUUGGUGGACUAACCCUUGAUGAGCUGGCAAGAGAGACUUUAUCAUUCUGGGUGAAGGCCUUUUCUGAAGAUACAGCAAAACGACUAGAGAAUUAUGGGUUCUUACAAUUCAGACAAGGAGGUGAAUACCAUGGAAACAACCCAGAGAUGUCA
RNAcentral lists this unclassified non-coding RNA (973 nucleotides) under Hevea brasiliensis (rubber tree). The record is from RNAcentral. Lineage: Eukaryota; Viridiplantae; Streptophyta; Magnoliopsida; Malpighiales; Euphorbiaceae.